AUACAUCGGAACGUGCCCGAUCGUGGGGGAUAACGGAGCGAAAGCUUUGCUAAUACCGCAUACGAUCUACGGAUGAAAGCAGGGGACCGCAAGGCCUUGCGCGGACGGAGCGGCCGAUGGCAGAUUAGGUAGUUGGUGGGAUAAAAGCUUACCAAGCCGACGAUCUGUAGCUGGUCUGAGAGGACGACCAGCCACACUGGGACUGAGACACGGCCCAGACUCCUACGGGAGGCAGCAGUGGGGAAUUUUGGACAAUGGGCGAAAGCCUGAUCCAGCCAUGCCGCGUGCAGGAUGAAGGCCUUCGGGUUGUAAACUGCUUUUGUACGGAACGAAAAGACCUCUUCUAAUAAAGGGGGUCCAUGACGGUACCGUAAGAAUAAGCACCGGCUAACUACGUGCCAGCAGCCGCGGUAAUACGUAGGGUGCAAGCGUUAAUCGGAAUUACUGGGCGUAAAGCGUGCGCAGGCGGUUAUGUAAGACAGAUGUGAAAUCCCCGGGCUCAACCUGGGAACUGCAUUUGUGACUGCAUAGCUAGAGUACGGUAGAGGGGGAUGGAAUUCCGCGUGUAGCAGUGAAAUGCGUAGAUAUGCGGAGGAACACCGAUGGCGAAGGCAAUCCCCUGGACCUGUACUGACGCUCAUGCACGAAAGCGUGGA
Molecule: ribosomal RNA, 656 nt
Filed under: Acidovorax radicis
Lineage: Bacteria; Pseudomonadati; Pseudomonadota; Betaproteobacteria; Burkholderiales; Comamonadaceae
Description: bacterial SSU rRNA
Rfam family: Bacterial small subunit ribosomal RNA
Source: RNAcentral